CAUCUCAACCAGGUGCGGUCGCGGCCUCCGGGGGUUCUCUCCCGGGUGGUAAGGGUAACACCUUCACGCGCCGCAUUUCUGAACCCUUUUUAUACGAGCACCUUCGUUCUCCUUCGGUGGGGCAACCUGCCGUUGGAACCAAACAAAACCUUUUUUGCAUCUAGCAUUACCUGUUCUGAUACAAAUAAUCGUUACAACUUUUAACAAUGGAUCUCUUGGCUCU
Molecule: unclassified non-coding RNA, 223 nt
Filed under: rhizosphere metagenome
Description: partial ribosomal RNA internal transcribed spacer region
Source: RNAcentral